CUUAACCCGUCUCCUCCUUCCCUCCCUACCUUCGAACCCUAAUUUAAACCUCAUUAUUCUCUCUCUCUCACUCUUUCUCUUCGCCCAAAUGUCUGAGGUAGCGAUUGUAGCAGAGUUCACCGGCAAUUUCUUUGCACUCACACAUUGAUCUCUCUCUCUCUCUCUCUUUCUCUCUCUGUUUAUCUCUCUGUUUCUGUCUCCCUAUUAUGUAAUCACUAUUUGGUGUUUUGUGUUUUUGAGUAUUGCGUUGGGCGAGAAGGAGGAAUUUGAUGCGAGAGAAGAGAUAAGGUAGUAUAUCAAAGAUGGCGGAGGUUUCCGGUGAGAGGAGUGUGAUGGCGACGGAAGUGAGCUCCAGCGAGAAUGGGAGCAAUGUGCGGCCUGCCACGGCGGAGGCUACGACGCUGCAACUGACGGUGUCGGCGUCCUUCAAGGAAGGGAAGACGGCCAUGAGGAGAGCGUUGGUGAGCUCGAAUCUCGAAGUUCAUAAAUCUGUUGCACGGCUCAGAUCCAGUGAAAGUGAAGCUCAAUCGACUCGAGAACGAAGUCAGAGACAAGGAUUGGGAAUCCAGUGUGAUUCGGUUUGAAUACGGCGAGUUUAGGUGUUCUCUGGUUUGUGUUUGAUUGAUGUGGUGGCAUUUUAUUUUUUGUUGACUUGUGCAGACAAGGACCAGGAAUCGUCUGAGACUCAAGCGGAGAUCAAGGCGUUGAGGUUUUCUGAGCGCUUGCGAGAAAAGGCUGUUGAAGAGGUGGAGUUUGCUUACAUAUUGGACAGUUUUGGAUUUAAUGUUAAGGUGGCAUUGAUUCCAUACAUCACGGCGGACAAUCCAAACCUAGUAACCAUUGCAGAAGUUUUUAAAAUACUUGAUUCUUGUGGUUCAGAUGUAAUUGAGCUAGGAGUUCCUUAUUUUGAUCCACUUGCUGAUGGGCCAGUUAUACAGGCUGCCGCUACUCGUUCGCAAUAGUGAGGAACCAAUUUUGAUAAAAUAAUCACAAUGUUGAAGCAAGAAGAAUUGCUCUCACUCUCACUAUGUUUGGAAAACGGGUUAAACUAAUGCAGAAUGAUCUAGUAAUCAAUGAAAUCUCAGAAGAUGAUGGUAAUGAUUUCAGUGAUCAGAUUCGGUAUGCUGAGGCUGAAGGUUGUGAAACAUAAUGUUAUAUGAGCUAUUCAGAGGAAAGCAAAAAUGAAGAAAUUAGCUCUGGCGGUACAUGGUAGCAUUUCAAUCAAUACAUACCACUAGUGCCAUGCUUUCCAAGCUCCUGAGUUGUUUGAGUCUUUGAAGAUUCAAAAUACCACAAGGAAAAGUCAUGACUAUCAAUUCUCAAUGAGAGUGAAAAUGAUAUUCUAUCAUCUAGUGAUGAUGUAAAUAGGCAAUUUCCUUUUGCAUGAAACAGUCAUAUUGAAUAAACUAUUAUGUUGCUUUAUAUUUUUCAUGUAAACAUACUUUUCAAUUAUGUAUGCAGUUCAAUUAAUAUGUAGACGGUUGUACAUGAAUAUUUUUUUAUAUUAUUUGACAAAUAUUUGUUACAA
Long non-coding RNA from Ipomoea triloba (trilobed morning glory), 1528 nucleotides. RefSeq lists it as uncharacterized. The transcript is spliced from 6 exons. The record is from RefSeq and is a predicted model, not a curated record. NCBI's taxonomy places the organism in Eukaryota, Viridiplantae, Streptophyta, Magnoliopsida, Solanales, Convolvulaceae.